AUGAAACAGAGCUGGAUCAUAUUCUUAUUGGCACUAUUAAUUGCAGGUGUCCACUCCCAGGUCCAGCUGCAGCAAUCUGGGGCUGAGUUGCUGAGGACUGGGGCCUCAGUGAAGAUAUCCUGCAAGGCUUCUGGCUAUACCUUUACUAGCUAUUAUGUAGACUGGGUGAAGCAGAGAACUGUAUAUAGCCUGGAGUGGAUUGGAAGAAUUAUUCCUGGAUUUGGUGCUACUGACUACGCUCAGAAGUUCAAGGGCAAGGCCACACUGACUGCAGACAAAUCCUCCAGGACAGUCUACAUGGAGCUCAGCAGCCUGACAUCUGAGGACUCUGCAGUCUAUUACUGUGCAAGACAUUCCAUAUUAUCACUCUCAAAAUAUAACUGA
Non-coding RNA from Mus pahari (shrew mouse), 384 nucleotides. The record is from the annotation of a RefSeq genome assembly. Lineage: Eukaryota; Metazoa; Chordata; Mammalia; Rodentia; Muridae.